Molecule: ribosomal RNA, 821 nt
Filed under: uncultured bacterium
Lineage: Bacteria
Description: bacterial SSU rRNA
Rfam family: Bacterial small subunit ribosomal RNA
Source: RNAcentral
ACACAUGCAAGUCGAGGGGCAGCGGGAGGAGUGCUUGCACUUCUUGCCGGCGACCGGCGCACGGGUGAGUAACACGUAUGCAACCUGCCUCCGUCAGGGGGACAACCCGGCGAAAGCCGGGCUAAUCCCGCGUAUAUUCCGUGAGGGCAUCCUUACGGAAGGAAAGGUUUCGGCCGGACGGGGAUGGGCAUGCGGCGCAUUAGGUAGUCGGGGGUGUAACGGACCACCGAGCCGACGAUGCGUAGGGGUUCUGAGAGGAAGGUCCCCCACACUGGUACUGAGACACGGACCAGACUCCUACGGGAGGCAGCAGUGAGGAAUAUUGGUCAAUGGUCGGAAGACUGAACCAGCCAAGCCGCGUGAAGGAAGAAGGUGCUCGGCAUCGUAAACUUCUUUUGUCAGGGAACAAAGGGCGGUACGUGUACCGCUGUGAGUGUACCUGAAGAAAAAGCAUCGGCUAACUCCGUGCCAGCAGCCGCGGUAAUACGGAGGAUGCGAGCGUUAUCCGGAUUUAUUGGGUUUAAAGGGUGCGCAGGCGGCGCGGUAAGUCAGCGGUAAAAGCCCGGGGCUCAACCCCGGCGAGCCGUUGAAACUGCCGUGCUAGAGUAAGGUCGAGGUAUGCGGAAUGCGCGGUGUAGCGGUGAAAUGCAUAGAUAUCGCGCAGAACUCCGAUUGCGAAGGCAGCAUACCGGCCCUUUACUGACGCUCAGGCACGAAAGCGUGGGGAUCAAACAGGCUUAGAUACCCUGGUAGUCCACGCAGUAAACGAUGAAUACUGGGUGUUCGGAAUGUAGAUUCUGAGUGCCGAAGCGAAAGCGUUA